Hydra vulgaris (swiftwater hydra) is the source of this 3881-nucleotide non-coding RNA. The record is from RefSeq and is a predicted model, not a curated record. NCBI's taxonomy places the organism in Eukaryota, Metazoa, Cnidaria, Hydrozoa, Anthoathecata, Hydridae.
UAGUACUAGUGUUCAUUUUCACCCCGCUGUUCAUAUUCACCCCCGUUUACGGUAUGUGUUUUGGUUUACAGACGGGUCCUGUCACGAUAAUUUUGGUCCGCCGAUAAAAAUGACUCCGGACUAAAUUUCUCAGAAAAUAAUUAUACGGCCGGAUAAUUUUUUUCUGAAAAAAUUGGUCUGAGCUAGAAAAAAUUGGUCCGUGUUAUGCAUGUGCGCAUAUAUCUUUUAAAUUAUCAUGGAAGACGACCUUGUUCAAAAAGUUUUUACUUAUUUAAGUAAAAAGCAAUACCCUGAUGGAAGUCUAGAAGGCGAAAAAAGAGUCAUUAGAAAAAAAGCCUUAAAGUUUAUGAUUUGAAGGAAGGUGGGGAAUUACUAUAUAAGUAUAAAAAGAAAGACAAGGAACUAUUUCUGUGAUACAUCAUAAAUCAUGAUGAGAGAAAAAAAAUAUUAGUAGCUUGCCAUGUUCAUCCUACUUCUGGCUAUAUGGGUAAAACAAGGACAUUAGGCAGGGUAAAAGAGCGUUUCAUGUGGCACGGAAUGGUAAAAAAUGUCCAUGAGUUGCUUAUAUCAUGUGAUGUAUGCCAGAGAAUGAAUAGAAAGUUAAACUGUGGAAAACCAGAGAUGCACCCAAUAAAGUAGGUUGAAGUAAUAGUCACUAAAGACAAAACGGCAGUUACAGCGGCAGGAUGUCUGUUCAAGGUAUUACAUUUUUAUUUCUGUCAUUGUUUUAGCAUCCUUGCUAAAUGCUACCUUUCUGGGUAUCAAGUUUUUGUGUCCAAAUAGUUUGCAACUUUACAUUCUAUAUUUCCAAACAAUCUUAAAAUUCCCUGAUAAUCUCAACUUAAUACACUGAUUUUCUCUCCAAUUUCUUGAUACAUAAAUCUAUUUAUAUAUGAAAAUUUAUUACAAAAUUAUAUCCCUAAACUUAUAUGUAAUGAAACUAUUUUGGAUAUCCGAAAAAACAAAAAAUAGAGAAAAUAUCAGGAAUUCCAGAAAUAUCCAGAAAUAUCCAGAUAAUCCUCGAACAUUAAUAUUUUUUUUGUAACUUCUAUUUUUAUUUUUUGAUUUUGUCUAAAAAAGAAAAGGCAUCAAUGGCAGAGUCAGCCCAAAUGUGAUAAUUACACUUAUGAUAAUUGUUGCUAAAGUUGCUCUUUUUAAUUUCUAACCUGAAUUAUUCUCUUAAUUCACAUGCUUGUCAUUUCUUUUCAGCUUUGAAAAUGUCCCUAUAAAUUUAUCUUACAUACCACUUUCUUUCUGAUCAAUAAAUUUCUUAAACUUUAAUAAAUUAAUUCCAUUGAAAAAAAAAAAAAAAUUACAUUUAAAUGAAGAUAAAAUAAUAUAAUAUUAUAUCUUUCUGAAGAGUUCAAAUGUGAUGAUCUUGAAAAGGAAUCUGAUGGUGUAUUUGUUAGGAUACACUAGGGAAAAUUAAGUUGGUUUGGGUAUGUAGAGCGUAAAGGUGCUACUGAUUGGGUAUCAGCAUUUAGAGAGAAGUUUUAUAAGAAAAAGUGAGGUAGGUAAAGAAAAUUUUUGAAAGAGUUAAAGAAAGACGAUGCACAAGAUUGAUGAAAUGUGCAGUAGCGGAUUUAGUAUAAGGCAUGGGGGAGAGCUGCCACACACACACACACUCCCUAGAACAGGGAGAACGACGCCCUUUAAAACAUUAAAAAAUAUGUAUGUAAUAUGUAUGAUAAAAGUCAUGUAAAACCAACAACAACAACAAGCUAUUUAUUUUAUGUUUAUCAUUUUACAAUAGUUUUGAUAAUAAUAAUAAUAAUAAUAAUAAUAAUAAUAAUAAUAAUAAUAAUAAUAAUAAUAAUAAUAAUAAGAAUAUUGAUAGUUGACUGAAGGAACGAUUUAUUGCGCUUGAGGAAUGAAAUAUUGCGCCUGAGGAACGAAAUUCCGAAACGGAGGAACGAUAUGUAUAUUUUGAGGAACGAAAUUUUGAUAUUUUAUUAUUUUCGUUCAAAGGAAUGAAAACAAUCGUUCAUUUGAAUGAAAUUUUAAAAUAUCGUUCAGAGGAACGAAAUAUCUGAAGAACAAUUAACAAUCAGAGAAGAAAAAGAACUACCACGAGAUUUAUUAUUUUCAUGUUUCUAGCUGUUUGAAAACGGAUAAGUUUUUUAUUAUAUUUUUUUAUUAUAAUAAUACUAAUUUCUUUUUCCAUCUUUUAUUGAUUGAUUUUGUAACAUGUUAUCUAUAUUAUAUAUAGUAUUUUAAAUUUUAAUAACAUUAGCCUAAUUUUUAAGAAAUGUUAGCCUAAUGAUUAGGUAUUUCUGCAUUUAAGUCUUUCUAGUUUUUUUGUAGUUUUGUUAAAAUAAAAUAUUUUCGACUCAAAGGUUUCCUCUCAUAUGUCCUAACUAACGUAGGAUAGGAGAAUGACCUUGUAAAGAGAUCACUCUCCUAUCGUCUCUAAUUCUAUAAGUUUAAAGUCUAUUUUUUAGCACUUGGUUUUAAGUUCAGUAUAGAUGUGAUAUGUGGGAUGAGUAGAAACGGUAGGGGAAAUUGAAAUAAAACUUUAAAUUUACACUUAUAUGUUAUAAGUUAUAACAAUGCAAACAAAAAUUUGUUUACUUAUGAACUACUUAUUUAGUUUCAUUAGUUAGAGAAUUUUAAAUUUAUAAAAAUAUUUCUUUUCAUGCCAUUAAAGUUCCAUUAAAUUCCUAAUUACAUUGAAACUCUCAUUCCAUUAAAAACUCAUAAAGUUUUUGUUUCUAUUUUGUUUUUUACUUUUUUUACUCAUCCAAUUUUAUGGCAUCUCUUUUAUUUCACAUGUUUUAUAUAAAAAGAAUGCAUACAUAUGUAAUUUUUGUUUAAAUUUAUUGUUUUUGUUCUAGGCUAUAGAAUUUUCUGGGUUUAGUUGUCUACUCCAUUGGAUAGUUAUUGUUAAGUAGUGACAAACGCCAAAAUGAAUUUGACUCCAAAUGACUCUAAGAAAACCUAUUUUAAUCGACGUUCUGGGAAAUCAUCAGAGUACAAUAUUUAAGAGGUUUUACAGAAUGAGAAUCUUUAUUUUGAGAAGAUCUUCAUGGACAAUAUAAUAGGUUAUGGAAUUUUUGUAAAAAAAGAUUUUUAUCCUGGCGAUGUUUUGCUUGAAUAUAAAGGUAAGUUAAUAACCAGAUUGGAAGCUGAAAAAGCUCAUGAAGAAUAUCACAGCAAAAAUGAAGGGUGUUUUAUCUUUGAUGUAGAUUGGAAGAAUUCUAAAAUGAGUAUUGAUGCAACAUAUUCUACUUGUCUUGGUCGAUAUAUAAAUGAUGCACCUGAAAGGUUUAGUAAUUGUAGACCAAAAACUCAUAUAAUUAAUGGUAAUCCACAUCUUCUAUUUUUUUCGAAAGUUUUUAUCCCCAAUGGUACCGAGCUUCGAUAUGAUUAUGGAGAUCGUAAAAAUCAAAACUGGAGAGAAUUAAAAAAUUAUAUUCAGCCAUUUACAAUGGAAGAAGUCAGAAACUCUCGUUAUGUUGGAAAAGUAAGUAAAAAGAAAUUAAAAAUCUUUUGUUUCCAUUUAUGUAAUUUAUUUAGUUUUAAUUUAAACUUAUUAGGUAAUUAUUAUUAUAGAUUAAAAUAUAUAUAUAUAUAUUUUUUCUUCUAUUAAAGUACUUUCUAUUCAAAAUAGUUUCCAAAAAGAGCACACAAUUUUGAUUUUAGAUUUGAACUCUGAUUUGGCAGAUAAUUAUGUAGAAAUAGAAAAAAUAUACAAUUUUUGAAAGUAUAAAAUUAUAGGCACUUGAUCAAUUAUAUACUUGAUAUGUUUUAGAGAUUUCAGCUACUAAUGCUAGUAAUUCCUAUCAAUUUAGCAAAGUUCUGAUCAGCAAUUGUUUAAAUAAAAAAAAUGAAGAAAAAAAUAAUUUAGACUUCCUGCCCUACCCUAAACUGUCAGUCAAUGU